Molecule: ribosomal RNA, 800 nt
Filed under: Ichthyoxenos japonensis
Lineage: Eukaryota; Metazoa; Arthropoda; Malacostraca; Isopoda; Cymothoidae
Description: 12S ribosomal RNA
Source: RNAcentral
AAUAGUUUAAUUCUAGCUAAAUAAUUCUACAAAAAUAAAUCUCACAGAAACAUUUCUUAAUAACUUUAUAUAUCUAAUGAUAAAAAUUAAUAAGCAGUUAAUCUGGCUUUAGUAUUAAUACUGAUAAAACAAGGUGCCAGCAAUCGCGGUUAUACCUGAAGAUUAAAACUCAAACUAAACUUGAAUUACUUAACUAUUUAAAAUAUUCAUUUUGUUAGUAAAAUAAAAACCAUGAAAUAUUUCAUAAACUAAUUCACAUAUUUAGAAACUAAAAAAGGAUUAGAUACCCUUGUAUUCUAAACCUAUUAAAAGUUUAGGUAGUAAAAGAUAUAACUAUAAAACCUUAAGAAUUUGGCAGCUUUCUUGAAAAAUCCAAGGAACUUGUUAUAUAAUUGUCAACACACACUUAACCUUACCUUUUUUAUAUUUGUAUACAACCGAAUAAUUGAUUAAUAAAAAUCCUCAAUCAAAAGAACUAUUCUCUAAAAAUCAGGUCACCGUGCAGUAAUUUAAAGGACAUAAUGAGUUACAUUAUUUUAAAAUGCAAAUUAAAACUGAAAAUUAUAUGAAGAUGAAUUGGAUAGUAAAAAUUAAUUUAAUAUUUAAUUUUGAAUUAUCACAAGACGUGUACAAAUCGCCCGUCAUUCUCAAUAAAAUUGAGACAAGUCGUAACAAAGUGGGGCUACCUGAAGGUGGCUCUAAAUUAAAACUAGUGAGAAUUUACUUCUCCUUAAUGAAUGAUAACCAUUAAUGAAAAUUUACUAGUUCUACUAAUCAAAUAACUUUAAACAUAAAUAUUA